RNAcentral lists this long non-coding RNA (939 nucleotides) under Scleropages formosus (Asian bonytongue). Its description in RNAcentral is "lncRNA (ENSSFOG00015033152.1)". The record is from RNAcentral. Lineage: Eukaryota; Metazoa; Chordata; Actinopteri; Osteoglossiformes; Osteoglossidae.
UGGAGCUGCUGCCUUUGGACCCAAAAGGUCAGAAGUUCAGAGCCCACCUCCAGCUGUUGUACCCUUGAGUAAGGUUGCUGCACCAUCGUGUCAAACCUGACCCAUAGCGACCACCCGCAUGGUUUCCAUGGCAAGGGGGGAACCGAAGUGGUUUUCUAAUGCCUUCUUCUGUAUGUUGGGGGGCACACACAGGGAGAAACAAGAAACGCCACCCACCCUGAGCUGGACUCAAACCCUACACCUGCCAAACAACAAGGUACCACUGAAACCUGCUGUGCCACCACAUCCCUCUUGAACAAGGUGGGCUGGUUCCUAACCCAAAACUGGAGACAGUGAGCAACAGGGAGGAAAUGGCACCCCUAACCCUCUCUGCCUCAUUUCCCUGCCAGUGGCCUGGGCUUCAGCACGAUGGAGUUGAGCUUGGAGGAAGCAUGUUUCCUGUCUCACAGAGACGCUGGACUGAAUUGCAGCUGUCACAUCCACGCCCACAACUUAACCGACAGCACCUGACUCUGGUCCAGCACCUGACUAACGGCUCACCCUUUGAAAGACCCUCCUCAGCUCCCAUACCUUUGCGGAAUCUCAUCAGAGACAACCGCCCUCCCUCGUGAUGUCCAGUGCACACUCAGCACUUGUUCUUCGUUCUCGUCUUCUGGUUUUUGUCCCUUCGCUUUGUUUCCCGACGACGUCCAUGGAUCUUCGUUCAAACGCCGACCGUCGACUGACCGACCUUUCGCUUCGUCCCAACCUCAUCCAUGGAUAAUCGCUCUAACUCCGAUUGCCGAUCGACCGACCAUUUGCCUGUCCCCGACUCCAAGAACUUGCCUUAUCCCCUGAAUUCAGACAAACGACUCGGCACUUGGGUCCUGCCGUCCCGGUUCUCUCGGCCCCGCAUGACAGCAUCAGUAUUCAAUAAAGAAAUUUAGCAGUUUUUCGGCA